This 332-nucleotide unclassified non-coding RNA is filed under the name soil metagenome. Its description in RNAcentral is "partial contains 5.8S ribosomal RNA, internal transcribed spacer 2, and large subunit ribosomal RNA". The stretch from base 1 to 120 matches the Rfam family "5.8S ribosomal RNA", at positions 35 to 154 of the family's 154-position model. The record is from RNAcentral.
GAUGAAGAACGCAGCGAAAUGCGAUAAGUAAUGUGAAUUGCAGAAUUCAGUGAAUCAUCGAAUCUUUGAACGCACGUUGCGCCCUUUGGUAUUCCUUAGGGCAUGCCUGUUCGAGCGUCAUUUAAACCUUCAAGCUAAGCUUGGUGUUGGGUGACUGUCCGCUUCACGGCGGACUCGCCUCAAAAUUAUUGGCGGCCGGUACAUUGGCUUCGAGCGCAGCAGAAACGCGAACUCGGGCCCGUCGUAUUGGCUCCCAGAAGCUAUCUUCACAAUUUUGACCUCGGAUCAGGUAGGGAUACCCGCUGAACUUAAGCAUAUCAAUAAGCGGAGGA